Regulatory RNA element from Firmicutes bacterium CAG:137, 85 nucleotides. It matches the Rfam family "Glycine riboswitch aptamer". From Rfam's summary of the family: This family represents the bacterial glycine riboswitch. NCBI's taxonomy places the organism in Bacteria, Bacillati, Bacillota. The record is from Rfam.
AUGAUUGGCUCGGGAGAGACUGAAACCAAGAAUGGCGCCGAAGGGGCAUGCAAAAACUCUCAGGCAAAAGGACCGGACCAGGACG